This is a non-coding RNA of Physcomitrium patens, 518 nucleotides long. Lineage: Eukaryota; Viridiplantae; Streptophyta; Bryopsida; Funariales; Funariaceae. The record is from RefSeq and is a predicted model, not a curated record.
GUGGUGAUGGCGAGAGGCACAUGAACUUGCAGACGCAGGCAGGGCUGACAAGAUUCAGCGCCAGAAUGGCGUCUCGAGCGGAAUCGCGACCGCUCGCUUCAUGGGGGAAUGCGAGUGGAUUUUUGCAGUAGGAGCUUGUUGUAGAGACAGAUAUGUUGGAUCCAGUUGGAAAGGGCGCUGUUGAGAACAGUUACAUGUACAAGGAGCUCUGAAUUUAGUUUACUGUCUUGGAAUAUGUUAGAGGAAUUGGAGUAAGUAUUGUUCAGAAAAGUCUUGGCGUAUUAUACCAAGAAAUGCCGCAUUUGAUCAGUUGAAGGGAUAGUUAGCGAUGUGCUCGUUUCGUCAUAAUCGACAGGAGUGACUUGAUCAAAGAUUCUUGUCAUUCAUGAUGAUUCUCUCGUGAACAAUGGGGAGAAGUGCUUGAAUUUUAUAACACAAUUGACGUCUUAAGACAUUCUUGUGUGCGAUUGUUAUGCAAGGUAAAGCAGCAUUUAAUAUAUUACAAACUCUGAAGCGAA